GACCACGUAGCUCAGUUGGCAGAGCAUCAGUUGGGCUAGUAUUCCAAAGGUCGUACGUUCGAUUCUCACCGUGGCCG
RNAcentral lists this transfer RNA (77 nucleotides) under Paramuricea clavata. Its description in RNAcentral is "tRNA-Thr". It matches the Rfam family "tRNA". Rfam says of the family: Transfer RNA (tRNA) molecules are approximately 80 nucleotides in length. Their secondary structure includes four short double-helical elements and three loops (D, anti-codon, and T loops). Lineage: Eukaryota; Metazoa; Cnidaria; Anthozoa; Malacalcyonacea; Plexauridae. The record is from RNAcentral.